Arabidopsis lyrata subsp. lyrata is the source of this 1002-nucleotide long non-coding RNA. RefSeq lists it as uncharacterized. Lineage: Eukaryota; Viridiplantae; Streptophyta; Magnoliopsida; Brassicales; Brassicaceae. The transcript has 2 exons. The record is from RefSeq and is a predicted model, not a curated record.
UUGCCAAAUCUACCACUUUCUCAAGUUUUUCCUACAAAAAUGCCAUAUUUUAAAAAACUUUUCCUCCAUACCACUUUGUAAAAUUGGAAAUGACCAUUUACUCCUUAUUUUCUCCACAAACACACACACAAAUAUCUUCUCUUCUUCUCUUUUUUUAUCGUUUCAUGCUCUCUCCCUCUUCCUUCUCUCUUUAUCCUCUUCCUUUCUCUCUUUCUCUUUUUCAUUUCUUUCUCUGUUUAGAUUUAAGAUUUGUUUGAAGUUAAUUAGAUCUAUUUCCAUCUCCACCAUCGUCUUCUUCUCUUCUAUAUCACCACUGUGGAUCAAAAAAUUCAGAUCUAUAAAUUUUGAUAUCCUCAAGAAUAGAUCUUUUAGUUUUCCUAUCUAAAUCAAGUUCAUUCUCCCAUCUAAAGAUUCACUGGUUUUAAUUUUGUUUUUAAUUGGUUAUUCAAUUUCGAUAUUAUGCAUAUUAAAUGUUUGUUGUCUACGAGAGAAAAAAGAAGACGAAGAUAUCUGUCUACUAGAAAACUGAAGACGAAGAAAAAGAUGUCUACGAGGAAACCGAAGAUACAGAGAAGAAGAUGUUUACGAGGAAACCAAAGAUGUUGUGGACAAUAUCAUUGAUUUGAAUCUGAAAUGUUGUCCACUUAAAUAAUAGACUAAUAGGAAUCUGAUUACAUUUUUUUGUCCAUGCUUUUAUUACUUUAAAAAUAUUGACCAUUUACCAGAUUAAAAAUUUCAAGCAAACGUUAUCGACGAUUAUUGGUCCAAGAUGUAUAUAUAUGGUUUUUUUUGUCCAUGCGAAGCAGAUACUACAGACUUAUUUGUAUUUAUUUCAUGAUAUAUGUAUAUACUUAUAAUUUUUAGUUUGGUGGACAAAUUUAGACAUGUAUAUUUGGUUGUUGUCCAUAUAUGUGUGUGAUAUCAUCUUUGACGAAUCUAUUUCGAUGAAUUGAUAAUGUUGGACAAAAAAUAUUAAAAUAAAGAAAAAGAAGAGAAUAAAAA